This 253-nucleotide ribosomal RNA is filed under the name uncultured bacterium. RNAcentral describes it as "partial 16S ribosomal RNA". It matches the Rfam family "Bacterial small subunit ribosomal RNA", at positions 524 to 776 of the family's 1533-position model. The record is from RNAcentral.
UACGGGGGGGGCAAGCGUUGUUCGGAAUUACUGGGCGUAAAGGGUUCGUAGGUGGCCAAUUAAGUCAGACGUGAAAUCCCUCAGCUCAACUGGGGAACUGCGUUUGAUACGGUGUGGCUAGAGUUCGGGAGAGGAGAGUGGAAUUCCCAGUGUAGAGGUGAAAUGCGUAGAGAUCGGAAGGAACACCAGUGGCGAAGGCGGCUACCUGGACAGAUACUGACACUGAGGCGCGAAAGCGUGGGGAGCAAACAGG